CAGUAGCCACGGGAACACGAAGGGUGCAAGCGUUACUCGGAAUUACUGGGCGUAAAGCGUGCGUAGGUGGUGGUUUAAGUCCGUUGUGAAAGCCCUGGGCUCAACCUGGGAAUUGCAGUGGAUACUGGGUCACUAGAGUGUGGUAGAGGAUAGUGGAAUUUCCGGUGUAGCAGUGAAAUGCGUAGAGAUCGGAAGGAACAUCUGUGGCGAAGGCGACUAUCUGGGCCAACACUGACACUGAGGCACGAAAGCGUGGGGAGCAAACAGGAUUAGAUACCCCUGUAGUCCCUGUCUCUUAUAU
Molecule: ribosomal RNA, 301 nt
Filed under: uncultured bacterium
Lineage: Bacteria
Description: partial 16S ribosomal RNA
Rfam family: Bacterial small subunit ribosomal RNA
Source: RNAcentral